UACGUAGGCAGCAAGCGUUGUUCGGAGUUACUGGGCGUAAAGGGUGUGUAGGCGGUUAUUUAAGUUUGGUGUGAAAUCUCCCGGCUCAACCGGGAGGGUGCGCCGAAUACUGAAUGACUUGGAGUGCGGGAGAGGAAAGUGGAAUUCCUGGUGUAGCGGUGAAAUGCGUAGAUAUCAGGAGGAACACCGGUGGUGUAGACGGCUUUCUGGACCGUAACUGACGCUGAGGCGCGAAAGCCAGGGGAGCAAACGGG
Molecule: ribosomal RNA, 254 nt
Filed under: uncultured bacterium
Lineage: Bacteria
Description: partial 16S ribosomal RNA
Rfam family: Bacterial small subunit ribosomal RNA
Source: RNAcentral